CUCGAAACUGUUGCUAGGUGUCGCGAAUCUUUAUGGCGUUGACGCCGCGCAUCUCUGC
This 58-nucleotide small RNA is filed under the name Sinorhizobium meliloti 2011. RNAcentral describes it as "putative ncRNA". The record is from RNAcentral. Lineage: Bacteria; Pseudomonadati; Pseudomonadota; Alphaproteobacteria; Hyphomicrobiales; Rhizobiaceae.